This 253-nucleotide ribosomal RNA is filed under the name uncultured bacterium. RNAcentral's name for it is "partial 16S ribosomal RNA". It matches the Rfam family "Bacterial small subunit ribosomal RNA", at positions 524 to 776 of the family's 1533-position model. The record is from RNAcentral.
UACAGAGGUCCCGAGCGUUGUUCGGAUUCAUUGGGCGUAAAGGGUGCGUAGGCGGCGGGGCAAGUCUGAUGUGAAAUCCCGGGGCUCAACCCCGGAACUGCAUUGGAUACUGCCUUGCUCGAGUACUGGAGAGGGAACUGGAAUUUACGGUGUAGCAGUGAAAUGCGUAGAGAUCGUAAGGAAGGCCAGUGGCGAAGGCGGCGACCUGGUCCUUGACUGACGCUGAGGCGCGAAAGCGUGGGGAGCAAACAGG